RNAcentral lists this long non-coding RNA (1128 nucleotides) under Callithrix jacchus (white-tufted-ear marmoset). RNAcentral describes it as "lncRNA (ENSCJAG00000075765.1)". Lineage: Eukaryota; Metazoa; Chordata; Mammalia; Primates; Cebidae. The record is from RNAcentral.
GUCCCCAACAGAAUCGCUAUUGGGGUACUACCUGGUGUAGCUGUGAGAAAAGGGUCACCAUCCUCCUGACUCCAGAAUAGCAGAUCCACCAACAACUUGCACCAUGCACCUGGAAAAGCCACAGAAACUCAAUGCCAGCCUAUGAAAGCAGCUGGGAUGGGUACUGUAUCCCGUAAAUCAACAAACAUGGAGCUGCCCAAGGCUAUGGGAGUCUACCUCUUGCAACAGUGUGACCUGGAUGUGAGUCAUGGAGUCAAAGGAGAUCAUUUUGGAACAUUAAGGUCUAAUGCCUGCCCUAUUGGACUUCAGACUUGCAUAAGUCCUAUAGCCCCUUUGUUUUGGCCAAUUUCUUCCAUUUGGAAUGGAUAUAUUUACCCAAUGCCUUUCCUGCAUUGCAUCUAGAAAGUAACAAGAUUUGAUUUUACAGGCCAACAGGUGGAAGGGACUUGCCUUGUCUCAGAUGAGACUUUGGAUUUGGACUUUUGAGUUAAUGCUAGAAUUAGUUAAGAUUUGAGGGGACUGUUGGAAAGGCUCGAUUGUGUUUUGGAAAUGUGAGGACAUGAGAUUUGGGAGGGGCCAGGGUGGAAGGAUAUGGUUUGGCUUUGUCCCCAACAAAAUCACAUCUUACAUUGUAGUUCCCAUGAUCUCCACAUGUUGGGAGGAACUGGUGGGAAGUAAUUGAACCAUGAAGGCAGUUUUUCCAAUGCUAUUCUUAUGAUAGUAAGUUUUCACAUGAUCUAGCAGUUUUAUACAGUGCUUCCUCCUUCACUUGACUCUCAUUCUUCACUCUCCUGCCACCUUGUGAAAAAGGACAUGUUUGUUUCCCCUUUUGCCAUGACUGCAAGUUUUCUGAGGCCUCCCCAGCCCUGCAGAACUCUAAAGACCGGGUUCUUUGUCCCAUUGGCCACAAAAAUUCAGGCUCACAGACAAUUUGAAUGCUUGCAUCCCAGACUCCACACAGAAGAAAAGGAGCCGGGAUCCUCCCCAGUCUACCAUGGUGCACAUGCUCAUCUCCUCUGGGAGUUUUUCGGGGGGAACCCCCUCCCUCAUGACUGUCUCAGUAAAAGAGUUACUACAAGAGAAAGUUGCAGAGGAGAAAGUAACACCAAGCUUAAUAUUAAGAAAUGA